UACGUAGGGUGCAAGCGUUAAUCGGAAUUACUGGGCGUAAAGCGUGCGCAGGCGGCUUUGCAAGACAGAUGUGAAAUCCCCGGGCUGAACCUGGGAACUGCAUUUGUGACUGCAUGGCUAGAGUGCGGCAGAGGGGGAUGGAAUUCCGCGUGUAGCAGUGAAAUGCGUAGAUAUGCGGAGGAACACCGAUGGCGAAGGCAAUCCCCUGGGCCUGCACUGACGCUCAUGCACGAAAGCGUGGGGAGCAAACAGG
RNAcentral lists this ribosomal RNA (253 nucleotides) under uncultured bacterium. RNAcentral describes it as "partial 16S ribosomal RNA". It matches the Rfam family "Bacterial small subunit ribosomal RNA", at positions 524 to 776 of the family's 1533-position model. The record is from RNAcentral.